Peromyscus eremicus (cactus mouse) is the source of this 1862-nucleotide RNA transcript. It is a transcript of the gene named lipocalin 2, with no coding region annotated. The record is from RefSeq and is a predicted model, not a curated record. NCBI's taxonomy places the organism in Eukaryota, Metazoa, Chordata, Mammalia, Rodentia, Cricetidae. The transcript has 8 exons.
AGAUGGUCCAGAUCUGAGUUGCUGACCUAGAUGAAGGGGUACAGACAGUGCCCUCAUGCCUGCCAGACUCCAGAGCUCUGCCAACGUCCCUCCUGUCCCCUCCCCUGUAGCCCUUCCUGUCACUCAACCUUGUGCAACCCUGACCUGGGGGAGAAGGGGACAGAAAUCUUGCCAAGUAUUUCAGCAGGACAGCAAUUGCCUCACACUUCCUGGAUUUGGUAAAGGAUGGACCCCCCCACAACACGGGGGCUGGCAGCCAGGUGGCCCAUAAAGAGUCUCCCUGGGGAGUCCUCCUCAUUCUCUUCCUCCUCCUCCUCCCUACUGGACCCAGUCCAGUCACUGCUGAAACCAUGGCCCUGGGUGUCCUGUGUCUAGCCCUUACCCUGCUUGGGGUCCUGCAGAGCCAGGCCCAGGACUCGACUGAGAACCUGAUCCCCGCCCCAUCUCUGCUCAAGGUCCCCCUGCAGCCAGGCUUCCAGAAGGACCAGUUUCAGGGGAGGUGGUAUGUCGUGGGCCUGGCAGGCAAUUUAGUCCAGAAGGAAGAAGAAGGGCGCUUUACGAUGUACAGCACCACCUACGAUCUGCAGGAGGACAACAGCUACAAUGUCACCUCCAUCCUGCUCAGGGACCAGCGAUGUGACUACUGGAUCAGAACUUUUGUUCCAAGCUCCAGGGCUGGCCGGUUCACCCUGGGAAACAUUCGCAGUUAUCCUAAGAUACGGAGCUACAGUGUACAAGUGGCCGCUACCGACUAUGACCAGUUUGCCAUGGUAUUUUUCAAGAAGACUUCUGGAAAAAAGCAAUACUUCAAAAUCACCCUGUAUGGAAGAACCAAGGAAUUGCCCGCUGAACUAAAGGAGCGCUUUGUCCGCUUUGCCAAGUCUCUGGGCCUUACAGAUGACCAUAUCAUCUUCUCUGUCCCCACCGACCAAUGCAUUGACAACUGAACAGGCGGUGCCUCCUGUCUGUCCCCAGCCCCCAUCUUUCCUGUUUCCAGAGAGCCACCUGCUUACCCCACCAGCCACGAUACCAGUCCCAAAGGGGCAGCCCCUCUGGAACUGGGAAGCUGGAAGAGCCUGGAGGGGAUAUGAGAUACAGUCAUCCCACACUCAUCUGGAUCCUGUGAUUGCUAGGAGUCAGAGGCCAUUUCUCUUCCCCCUGCCAGAAUGUGUGAGGUCCAAAUGAACCCCUCUUUCCCAUCUCACACACAUAUGCUGCUCCUUUCACCUUGGCUGAGGAGAUGGGAGUGCCUAGGUGGUGACCACCCCACUCUCAGUCCUGCAGGGGGGCAGCACAGACCCGAGACCCAGCUCAUCAGAUGGUGUUGAAAUCUGGGCUGGAUUUCGGGAAGAGAUGGCACACGCUGAGCAGCUAGUGAGGGAUAGAGGCUGUGUUCAAGCCCAGAAAGCUUCCAGGGUGAGAGGUACAUCUAGGGCCUACUGGUUAAAGCCUCAGUGGCUAGCCAUGUAAGGACGCUACACCACACAUACUUCACUCCUGGGCUCCAAUCCAGCUGCAGAUCUAAUUUCUUUCUUUCUUUUGGGUCAGAGUCUUACUAUAUAUCCCUGGCUGGUCUGGACUCUAUGUAGAGCAGACUGGCCUUGAACUCAUAAGAGCUCUGCCUGCUUCUGCUUCCAAAGUGCUGGGAUUAAAGGUGUGUACCAUCAUGCCCAGCUUAUUUAUGUGGAUGUUUUGCUUGCUUAUAUGUGUAUGAACCACACACAUGCAGUUCCCGUAGAGGCCGGAAGGAGGAGUCUGAUCACCUGGAGCUGAAGUUACAGAGAGUCAUGAGCCACCAUGUGAGUGCUGGGAAUUGAACCCAGGUCCUUCAAAACAGACUGUUCUUAAACACUGAACCAACU